This 23-nucleotide microRNA is filed under the name Parasteatoda tepidariorum (common house spider). RNAcentral describes it as "pte-miR-35f-5p". Its record names the gene pte-miR-35f-5p. Lineage: Eukaryota; Metazoa; Arthropoda; Arachnida; Araneae; Theridiidae. The record is from miRBase by way of RNAcentral.
UGGAAUUUUUCGCUGCGGUGGUU